GAUGAACGCUGACAGAAUGCUUAACACAUGCAAGUCUACUUGAAUUUGGGUUUUUUAACUUAGAUUUGGGUGGCGGACGGGUGAGUAACGCGUAAAGAACUUGCCUCACGGCUAGGGACAACAUUUGGAAACGAAUGCUAAUACCUGAUAUUAUGAUUAUAAGGCAUCUUAGAAUUAUGAAAGCUAUAUGCGCUGUGAGAGAGCUUUGCGUCCCAUUAGCUAGUUGGAGAGGUAACGGCUCACCAAGGCGAUGAUGGGUAGCCGGCCUGAGAGGGUGAACGGCCACAAGGGGACUGAGACACGGCCCUUACUCCUACGGGAGGCAGCAGUGGGGAAUAUUGGACAAUGGACCAAGAGUCUGAUCCAGCAAUUCUGUGUGCACGAUGACGUUUUUCGGAAUGUAAAGUGCUUUCAGUUGGGAAGAAAAAAAUGACGGUACCAACAGAAGAAGUGACGGCUAAAUACGUG
Molecule: ribosomal RNA, 468 nt
Filed under: uncultured bacterium
Lineage: Bacteria
Description: partial 16S ribosomal RNA
Rfam family: Bacterial small subunit ribosomal RNA
Source: RNAcentral